Non-coding RNA from Microcebus murinus (gray mouse lemur), 5531 nucleotides. NCBI's taxonomy places the organism in Eukaryota, Metazoa, Chordata, Mammalia, Primates, Cheirogaleidae. The record is from RefSeq and is a predicted model, not a curated record.
AGGGGCGGGAGGUAACUGAGCAAGGCAAAGGGGGGCAAAAAGAGCAGAGUGGGCAUGAGCAAGACGCAGACCCGGGGCUAAGGGAGCCUUCCGGCGGCAAGGGGCCAGGAGGCACGCUUACAGCAGAAUGUGCCGGGCGCCCCUGUAGGCGUGUGCGAGCGGAGUGCGCGUAUGUUCGCCAGGACAGUCCUCUCCAGAACAUCCCCAGUUCCUCCAUGAAGUCAAGACGCCACCCCCGAAUAUCUCAUGGGGUUGAGCUUUGACUGCAUCUCGCGCCCAGGACAAGGCAGUGACCAGAAAGAGCAGGGAGGUGCCCAGAAGGCAGAAACCAGGAGGCCAGGACGGCCGCACAGCCACGAGCUGGCCAAGUGGAAUCGCGCCUGCGCUGCCUUGGUCUCCAGUCCCAAGGAGGCCUGCCCCCCCCCCGCCCCCGUGGGCGCCAUCGCCACUUAAAAGCAGAACCUGAACUGGACUUGACCUGGAACUUGGCCACUUAAAAGUGGAACUCGACUUGGAAACUGAACCGGACCUGGGCUGGAGGGGUCUGGGGACCGGGGGGAGGACACGAGAGGCCUGUUCAGGGACCACCGAGAAAACGAGCUGGGCAGACCGUUAGGACGCCAGCGGGGGGAGCAGCCAAGAGCAGGCUCGAGAGAGACUCGAAGCUGAGCUAAGUUUAAGAGUUUGGACUUUUAACCUGUUGGCAAUGGGGAGCCACUGAAGGUUUGCUGACAGGAGAAGUGACGAGAGCCGGUGAGCGGCUGGCUGGGGGGAAGGGGCAGGGAGGAGGACAGGUGAGGCCCUGAAGCACAGCCGGUGUGGACGUCUCCCAGGUCAAAGAUGAAGUGGAUGACAAAGGAGCCCGGGGCUAGGGGUGCGGGGACCCUGCAGGGAGGCAGGCGGGCUGGGCUGUGGGGGGGGGGACCUGCCCCAGGAGCUCAUCUGGGGGGGAGAGGCGGGAGGACUUGCUGACCUUCACACUGCAUUUCUCAAGUGCAAACUUCCUCCCCUCUGUCUUCUCAAGUGUACAGAGGCUCCGCACCUUCUUGCUUUGGACUAACAGAGGUAUCUGUGUCUUGCUGGACAGAGAGAUGGGGCACCCCAAAACGCCCUUGUGGCAACCAUCCCCACGCCCCCGACCUGCAGCGCCUGGGGCUGGCUCUCCCUGCAGUCAGACCAGGGCCCGCCCUGCUUGGCACCCACGCAGCCGCCGGCCUGCCCGUUUACCGUUUCCCUCGUGCCAUUUAGAGCCCCCUGUGCAAAAGCAACCCUUCGCAUUUCAAGGGCUCUGUGGGCAAAAGUCUGCAAUUCCCCACUUAAAAUGCCCCACCUCCACGGCCAGCCACCCUCCUCGUGCACUAGGCUCUCGAUUCCAGGCUUCUACUUGCAAAGCCUGAAUGUGCCACUUUGCAGGUACUGCGCUUGAAGGUUUAAGAGUACUUUUCUCUGUCUCUCCUCUGCAUCUCUUCCCUCCCUGGGCCACCUGUGUCACUGUGCGCCUGGUUUCCAAACACAAUCCUCUGCCGCUUUCACACCCUCCAGUCUUCACUCCCCUGGGUAGACGGGGACUAUUUGGCCUAAAGCCCUGUGAUUACACCGGGUCUCAUCCUUCUCUAGCCCCAGAUGGAACCUUCCUUGCGCAUCUUUUUUCAUGUUAACUCCCCCUGGGCUCUGGGCUGUCCACACUGCAAGGAUCUCUGGGAUCCAGCGGGGGCCUGUCUUCCCUAGGACCUGCCUCUGUCAUGCUUGGCGGGCAGGACGCCGCCACCACGCUUCCUCCUUCUGUGGAAGUCUGGCCUGCAGUGCGGGCUGGGCCCUCCUGGCAGGGACCCUCCCUCUCUGCACCAGGUUUCUUCUCCUGUACCUUGCCGAGAAAGGAAGCACGCUCUGUAGUACUUUUUGAAGUCUUUUCUGCUCAUCAGAAAGAUCCAGCCGAGUAUCUGCAUGGGUUUACAACCUGCCAUACGAUCGACUAGGUGGCGACCCCUUCCCAGACGUUGGGACCAUCUUCUGCCACCCCACCCCCGCCCCCUGGCGUCCUGGAAAUCCUGUUCCUCCAGACAGGGUGGCUCUUUGGGCACGGAGAGGAAUCUGCCAGCUCACCCAAGUCCUUCCCCUCCGGGGUGGGCGAUACCUUCCUCUGGGCCCUCUGGCCUCAGGUAUCCCGGAUGGUCCUUGGAGCCCCACGUGUGAACCCCCGGCCAUGACAUCCACGUCUGGAUGCCAUGGUGUCGACCCAGGAGGCAUUGUGGUACCCACGAGGUGCUACAGAAGAGCCACAGGCAGGGAUGGUCACGGACUGUGGCCUAUGCCUCCAAGGCUAGAAUGCAGAAGCUCGAAGCAGGGUGUAGGAAAAACGCACCCUAAAAUUCUGACUCCUCAAGCUGCAUGUCCUGGGCCCGCAGCCCGGCACCUCCAGGGAGCCUGCUGAGGACACGGGCUCCCUGGCCGCAGACCUUCGGGUCACCACGUGGGGGCAGCCUGUCCGGGCUCUGGCGGUGAGUUCUCACACGUCUGCACACGCUAUGUGGCAUCGGCCUCAGUGGGCCUCUCGGUGGUCCCCAGGUUGGCCCCUGGGGCCUUGGGCCUCCGCCUCUCCCACCCGGCCACCCCUCCCAGGACACCCAGCCCUGGAGCCUCCUCCUCCCAGCUCAGGCAUGCCCUGCUGGGGGGCUCGAGAAACACGCAGCCGCAGCCCCCACAGCAGAAGCCACAUGCUGCCUGGCCAUCAGUCGGGGUCACCACCCUGCCCGGUGCUGCCUGGUCCCCCUCAGGGCGAAGUUCAAGGAUUUCAGACUCCCUUGGGUCCCUUAGUCACUGCGCUCACAGGGCUGCCCUUCAAAAGCACUGUGGUGUGAACGGAGAGUGUUUCUCUAGACGGGUCCAAACCCAUUCUCUGCCCCGAGGGCAGCAGCCACGCCCCUCACGGUCUGGACGCGGGUGAGCGUGGCCACCCGACACAGCCCGGACACCCUCCUCCGUGUCAGCGAGGGAACUGUGCAGCGGAGGCGCGGCCAGGGCCGGCUGGGGAAGUGGUGCAACCGGCCUCCGCUCAGCCCUGCUUAGGGCUCGGGGACUUGGGUCCAGGCUCUGAAGGCCAGAGGAACUCGCCCUGCUCGGAGGAAACAGUUGGAAUUCACAUGAACCCUGUGAGCCCGAGUGUCCUCGCCUGUAGGAUAAAGACCCUGUACCCCACGAUCUCUGAGGGCCACUCCGGGGUGAACACGGCUCCGCCCCCUGCCCCCGCCGGCAGAUUCCAUGAUGGCAUCAUGCCCAGGAGGGUUCAGCCCUUGGGUUGGCCCUUUCCAGGCUCUGGGAUCUCGUCCCGCAGAGAGUUAUUAGGGCCUUAGGAGAGAAGAUGCAAACACUUUAAACACAAGAACUCUGAUGUAGAAUCUAGUCUACGACAGAGGCCACCUUGAGAGAUGCCGCCAGUGCCGCAGUGGCCCCGGGACAAUUGGAUGGACGCUUGGGAGCAAACGAAAUUGAGUCCAAACCUCAUCCAGCAGCUGCCCCGGAACCGCGUCCAGGGCACUGGGGGCUUUCAGUGCUGCAAGGCCUGCAGGGGUGGGGAGGCCCGCGGGGGUCGGGGAAGCCGGCGGGCGGGGGUCUGGGUGCGCUCGUCCUGCGCGCGGAGCUUCGGCUCGCCCUGCCCUGCGAGCCCGCACUUGACAGGCUCCCCGCCACCCGGGCAGCAGCUGUCUCUUGCGCACUCUGCUCAGGGACGUGAGGACCCACGGUCGGUCGCUGAGCCUGUCUCUGCUGGGGAGGGCGAGCGCAGGGUCAGCACUGCUCGGGCUGGCCCUCACUGCUGGGCGCGGCAGGGAGUGGCUGCUCCCCGGCCACGCAGAGAUAAUGAUGGCCCACUGCGGUGGCGAGCUGAGCCCAGCGCUCAGGCAGCCUUCACCCUUCCCUACGUUCCAGAUGGAAAUACUUUCAGACGGGGGAGAAACGCAGGAGGGGGCAGACAGGAGGCAGACCGGCCUCGGAGCUCUUCCUGCGAGCCAGGGCCUGCCCCAGGGGCCUCGCCCUUCGUGCUUCUUGGUGAGGCCUCCCGCGUCUGUUAGCUCUUGCCGAUGCCGGGAGGAGAUGGGUCACUCAGCAGCGCAGUCCCGUAAAGGACAGUUGGAGGGUUUUCUCUCAAACGGCUGUUUUAAAUAUUUAUGGCCGCGGGGGGAUGCUCGCAUGGGUAAGUGAAAAGAUGAGGUCAGAUGGCCCAAUUUUGCGGAGAGAAACGUGGCAAGGCGCACACGCUGAAGUCCAGAGGUCACUCGUUGUCCAUGCAGAGCUGGUGCCUCUCUUGUCCGGCCGCUGAGGCCCACAUUCCCCGCCACAGCGCUUGUUCUCUGUCACCCCCGGCGGCGACGUGUCGCGUCCUCCCCAGCUCUCGAGCCUUCCAACUAGCACAGCGCCUGGCACAAGCGGGCGCUCAAUACCCGUCUGCAAAUGACGAGCGAACGUGGGACGGACGGACGGACGGACGGACGGAUGGAUGGGGAGGAGAGAGAGAGGGAGAGAGGGCAGGAGGCAGGGAGUUCAGAGGGAAACAUACCAAAAUCCUAACAAGGGUCAUUAUCAUCUGAACAACUUAUUUCAUCUUCUUUAUAAAUAUGUGACUUCCAAAUCUUCACCAAUAAAAUGAUCACUUUUAUGAUAAAUUUUUUUCAUCAAAGUUCUGUGAUUUAUCAACGAAUCAGUCUGAAUGCUUCCUCGUAAUUUCGAGUCCUAUUUUUAGCUGAAUCAAGAAGGCCCUGAAGUAGGCUAUGUCUAUGAGAGCGGCCAGGUCUUCCAGAGCCAGCGCCGGGAGACAGGCUCUGACGGGCUCGAAAUGCUCAUAGAAGCGGGACUGUCUGGAAGCAGGGCGCCCCGCAAAGGCAAGACCCCCGCAUCUAAGGAACAAGUGCUCCACUUAGGGGAGAGGACCAGUAACACUGGGUCGUGGACGGACGGCGACCCUCAGGAGGACAGUGGGCCUGUUGGCCCCUCGAAAGUGCCCACGUAAGGGUGAGAAGAGGGAGCUGUCAGAGGGAGGAAGACACGCGACCUGGGCGCCAUGCUCCUCCCAGCUACACUUUGCUUCCCUGAGGCUGAGCCCAUUCUGCUUUUGGGAUGAUGGAUACUGUCUUCCAAAGGGAGGAGCUGGAUUAUCAGACGAGGAGCGGCACUCGCAGAGAGGUUAAGAGAUGUGCCUAAGGGUCGCACAAGGGGUAAAUGUUAGCACCGCGAUUCCAGCCCGGGGAGUCUGGCUUCAGAGGCCAAGCUCAACUUACGUCACAAACGAGCCUCUUUCCCAUGCAGAACAUUUCCAGUAAUUAUUUUCCACGGGACAGUGAUUCUAACCAAAGGAGUGAGAGAAAAGUAUACCGACGUUCGCCAGGACCUUGAGGGAAUUAAGAGGCCGGCUGAAUCAAGAAACGGUCUCAGAAUCUCAUAAUGCGGGCAACACAAUCAUUACAAAGUAAAACAAUGUGAUCUUGGAGCAGUGGCAAUCUCAAAGCAUAUCUCUACAUCUCAAUUAAAAAAAAAAAAAA